GCUGGUGUAGCCGAAUGGCAUAGGCGUGUGCCUUAGGAGCACAAAUUUGGAGGUUCGAGUCCUCUCACCAGUACCA
RNAcentral lists this transfer RNA (76 nucleotides) under Clostridia bacterium. Its description in RNAcentral is "tRNA-Leu". It matches the Rfam family "tRNA". Rfam says of the family: Transfer RNA (tRNA) molecules are approximately 80 nucleotides in length. Their secondary structure includes four short double-helical elements and three loops (D, anti-codon, and T loops). The record is from RNAcentral. Lineage: Bacteria; Bacillati; Bacillota; Clostridia.